GCAAGUCGAACGCAGUAGCAAUACUGAGUGGCAAACGGGUGAGUAUAAUGUGGGAAUCUGCCUUUUGGUUUGGAAUAACACGAGGAAACUUGUGCUAAUACCGGAUAAGCCCUUACGGGGAAAGUUUUAACGCCGAAAGAUGAGCCUGCACUUGAUUAGCUAGUUGGUAAGGUAAAGGCUUACCAAGGCAACGAUCAAUAGCUGUUCUUAGAGGAAGACCAGCCACAUUGGGACUGAGACACGGCCCAGACUCCUACGGGAGGCAGCAGUGGGGAAUCUUGCACAAUGGGGGAAACCCUGAUGCAGCGAUGCCGCGUGAGUGAAGAAGGCCCUUGGGUUGUAAAACUCUUUCGUCGGGGAAGAAAAUGACUGUACCCGAAUAAGAAGGUCCGGCUAACUUCGUGCCAGCAGCCGCGGUAAUACGAAGGGACCUAGCGUAGUUCGGAAUUACUGGGCUUAAAGAGCUCGUAGGUGGUUAAAAAAGUUGAUGGUGAAAUCCCAAGGCUCAACCUUGGAACUGCCAUCAAAACUUUUUAGCUAGAGUGUGAUAGAGGUAAGUGGAAUUUCUAGUGUAGAGGUGAAAUUCGUAGAUAUUAGAAAGAACACCAAAUGCGAAGGCAACUUACUGGGUCACUACUGACACUGAGGAGCGAAAGCAUGGGUAGCGAAGAGGAUUAGAUACCCUCGUAGUCCAUGCCGUAAACGAUGUGCGCUAGACGUUGGAAAUAUAUUUUUCAGUGUCGCAGCGAAAGCAUUAAGCACACCGCCUGGGGAG
This 775-nucleotide ribosomal RNA is filed under the name uncultured marine bacterium. RNAcentral describes it as "bacterial SSU rRNA". It matches the Rfam family "Bacterial small subunit ribosomal RNA", at positions 57 to 880 of the family's 1533-position model. The record is from RNAcentral.